GUCCACGCAGUAAACGAUGAGUACUAGUUGUCGGGCUCUUAGAGUUCGGUGGCGAAGCUAACGCGUUAAGUACUCCGCCUGGGGACUACGGUCGCAAGACUAAAACUCAAAGAAAUUGACGGGGACCCGCACAAGCAGUGGAGCAUGUGGUUUAAUUCGAUGCUACGCGAAAACCUUACCAACCCUUGAAUCCAGAUUACCGGUACAGAAAUGUAUCUUUGGAGCAAUCCACAUUUGAGACAGGUGUUGCAUGGCUGUCGU
Molecule: ribosomal RNA, 261 nt
Filed under: uncultured bacterium
Lineage: Bacteria
Description: partial 16S ribosomal RNA
Rfam family: Bacterial small subunit ribosomal RNA
Source: RNAcentral